This 465-nucleotide ribosomal RNA is filed under the name uncultured bacterium. RNAcentral describes it as "partial 16S ribosomal RNA". It matches the Rfam family "Bacterial small subunit ribosomal RNA", at positions 338 to 795 of the family's 1533-position model. The record is from RNAcentral.
CCUACGGGGGGCAGCAGUAGGGAAUCUUCCACAAUGGGCGAAAGCCUGAUGGAGCAACGCCGCGUGGGUGAAGAAGGUCUUCGGAUCGUAAAACCCUGUUGUUAGAGAAGAAAGUGCGUGAGAGUAACUGUUCACGUUUCGACGGUAUCUAACCAGCAAGCCACGGCUAACUACGUGCCAGCAGCCGCGGUAAUACGUAGGUGGCAAGCGUUAUCCGGAUUUAUUGGGCGUAAAGGGAACGCAGGCGGUCUUUUAAGUCUGAUGUGAAAGCCUUCGGCUUAACCGGAGUAGUGCAUUGGAAACUGGGAGACUUGAGUGUAGAAGAGGAGGGUGGAACUCUAGGUGUAGCGGUGAAAUGCGUAGAGAUAUGGAAGAACACUAGUGGCGAAAGCGGCUUUCUGGUCUGUAACUGACGCUGAGGUUCGAAAGCGUGGGUAGCAAACAGGAUUAGAUACCCGAGUAGUC